AAUGCGGCCGUUGAUCUCCCCUGGCGCCCCUCCCCUGGGCCAGGGGCUUCGUGGACCGCAGAGAUCA
This 67-nucleotide small nucleolar RNA is filed under the name Euglena gracilis. Its description in RNAcentral is "AGA box snoRNA". Lineage: Eukaryota; Euglenozoa; Euglenophyceae; Euglenales; Euglenaceae. The record is from RNAcentral.